RNAcentral lists this ribosomal RNA (490 nucleotides) under uncultured bacterium. RNAcentral describes it as "partial 16S ribosomal RNA". It matches the Rfam family "Bacterial small subunit ribosomal RNA", at positions 29 to 505 of the family's 1533-position model. The record is from RNAcentral.
AGUGAACGCUGGCGGUAGGCCUAACACAUGCAAGUCGAACGGCAGCACAGUAAGAGCUUGCUCUUACGGGUGGCGAGUGGCGGACGGGUGAGGAAUACAUCGGAAUCUACUUUUUCGUGGGGGAUAACGUAGGGAAACUUACGCUAAUACCGCAUACGACCUACGGGUGAAAGCAGGGGAUCUUCGGACCUUGCGCGAUUGAAUGAGCCGAUGUCGGAUUAGCUAGUUGGCGGGGUAAAGGCCCACCAAGGCGACGAUCCGUAGCUGGUCUGAGAGGAUGAGCAGCCACACUGGAACUGAGACACGGUCCAGACUCCUACGGGAGGCAGCAGUGGGGAAUAUGGGACAAUGGGCGCAAGCCUGAUCCAGGCAUACCGCGUGGGUGAAGAAGGCCUUCGGGGUGUAAAGCCCUUUUGUUGGGAAAGAAAAGCAGCAGGUUAAUACCCCGCUGUUCUGACGGUACCCAAAGAAUAAGCACCGGCUAACUUCG